UACGUAGGGGGCGAGCGUUGUCCGGAUUUAUUGGGCGUAAAGAGCGUGUAGGCGGCCAGGUAGGUCUGCUGUGAAAACUCGAGGCUCAACCUCGAGACGUCGGCGGAAACCAUCUGGCUAGAGUCCGGAAGAGGAGAGUGGAAUUCCUGGUGUAGCGGUGAAAUGCGCAGAUAUCAGGAAGAACACCCGUGGCGAAGGCGGCUCUCUGGGAAGGUACUGACGCUGAGACGCGAAAGCGUGGGGAGCGAACAGG
Molecule: ribosomal RNA, 253 nt
Filed under: uncultured bacterium
Lineage: Bacteria
Description: partial 16S ribosomal RNA
Rfam family: Bacterial small subunit ribosomal RNA
Source: RNAcentral